CCCGGGACGCCUGAAGCCAAGGACGGAUCUGCAUCCUCCCUGCUCCCCAGCUUGGCUCUCGGUCCCAGAGAACCGCCCCCCAACUGCCCAGCCCGGAAACAAUCAUCCUUUGAGAAAGGCUGCCAAGCCGGGCGCCAGGAACAGCCAGGGUAGAGGCGGGGUGGGAUGGGGGUGCAGGCCGCGGAGCGACGAGCUUUAACUCCAGCGAGCCGGGGCCCGGGGGCGUCGGGACCCCGCGCGCAGCCCCUGCUCCGGAGUCUACAGCAAGAGCCUCCUCCGCUCGGAGGCUGUGUUGCGGAGGUGAUGAUACCAAUCCCAGGGGGUCCUCGCCGGCCUCCCUCCCCGCGCCCCCCGCCUCUGCGGCCGAGAUUGGUACCGACCAUUAGCGGCGCGGGUCCCGCCGGCAGCUCGCGCUCGCUCGGGGCGGGGCGGGCGCGCGUGGGGGCGGGGCGGGAGGCGCUGUCACAGCCGCGGCGGCCCCGGCGCAUCAUCUGCCGCCGCCGAGGGGACUCCGCGCCGGCCCGCUCGGCUAGGCUCCGGCCCCGCGCCCAGGCCGCCCGCGCUCUUCCCUCUCCGCGCCCCUGGUGCCGGCCCCCUGCUUCCUCCCGCCCCCCGCGCCUCCCCUCUCCGUCUCCCCCGCCCCCCACGCCGCCCUGCCCGCGCCUCCCGCGCGCUCCCAGGCUCCGGCCGUCGCCUCGCGGAGUCCACCAGGAGCCGGGCGGGGGCUGCGGGGCCGGGCGGGGGCUGCAGGCGGGCGGGCCGCGGACCCCGGCUAUGAAGUGGCCCCCCGGGGCCCGGAGCCCGAGAGACCCCGGAGAGGGAGGUGCGCGCGGCCCAGGGCAGCAGCCGGGGGACGCCGGGGUCGGGGCGUAGCGGCCGCCGCCCGCGAUGGACCGCGCCGGGAGCGAUCUGGACUCGCCGCCGCAGGUCUGUAUCCUCCAACCAGCUGUCUCCCUGGCUGCUGCACCCUCCCGGUGUCCCCACUCUUGAGGAGCCAAGCCGUGGGUCAUCUGUGUGCUCCGGCCCCAGCCUGCGCAGACCCCAACCGAGAGCAGCAAUGUGAGCUCCCCACAAAGGGAGCACUGGGCUUUUGCUCUGAGGGCCUCCCUCGUGGAGGCUAUGGGUGAGUGGACACCCUUCUGCCUGAAGACCAGGAGCGGCAGCAUUGAGGGGACUUCAGGAAAACUGGCUGGGCCAACGCCUGUGUUCACGUUCCUGCGGUGGACCAGCAUGGAUUUUCACUUGCAGAGCACCACACGAGGCCAAACCCCAAUUUUCAUUUUUUACUGAAUCAGAACCCAAAUCUAAUCCAAAAGCUAUUUCUGAAAAACCAGAAAGAAAAACAAAGGAACUACCUAAAACAAACAACAGUGCGCUGUAUUUUCUGACACUCUUGGGCUGGAAGGAAACCAGAGUGUGAGGAUGUGCUUUGGGCCAUCUGAACUGAACAGCGCUUCCUGCUGCCCAACACUUGGCUUGGUUUUCCUGGUCAGAAGGGAGCAAGAUGGUGCGAAUCCACGCACCGUCUGCACCGCCUGUCCUAUCAGAAGUACCCAGGAGUGAGAGCCAGCAGUGGUGGGCCCGGAGGCAGAACGCAGACCUCCCCCGCUGCCUGGACCCCUCUCUCCUCAGCGAGCACCAGGAAAGCAGGGUGGGGAGCCCCUUCCUGGGACACUCGGCUGACCACAGGGCGGGCAGGGCAGGG
Molecule: long non-coding RNA, 1705 nt
Organism: Equus asinus (donkey)
Lineage: Eukaryota; Metazoa; Chordata; Mammalia; Perissodactyla; Equidae
Source: Ensembl